AUGUUCUUACUCCGUGAUAGAGGUUGCAACUUGCAACCCCAUCAACAGCUCCAGAAACACAGCACCUGGUGUAAAGAUUUUUGGGUUAGUGCAUCCCAUACGCGUUUAAAACCUUCCCAUUAUCUCCCUGGACAGAUUCCAGUACUUAGUAUCAACUGCCAGUUCGUUGAAAGUGAAGGCUUUCAUUCCAUCUAUUUCAAUGCAAAAAGCAUAAGCAUUAGAACUGUUCUUUGGAAGACAAUCGCAAAUUAUGCUGAGAGUGUCAAGAUGAUGUUCAAAAAAGUGGUACAACAGUACUUGCUAUUGUAA
Vicia faba (fava bean) is the source of this 309-nucleotide non-coding RNA. The record is from the annotation of a GenBank genome assembly. Lineage: Eukaryota; Viridiplantae; Streptophyta; Magnoliopsida; Fabales; Fabaceae.